AAUCAACGCUGGCGGCGUGCCUCAGACAUGCAAGUCGAACGAUUAAAGCUCUCUUCGGAGAGUGCAUAGAGUGGCGCACGGGUGAGUAACACGUAAGUAAUCUACCCUCGAGUGGGGAAUAACGUCCGGAAACGGGCGCUAAUACCGCAUAAUGCAGCGGCAUCACAAGAUGACAGUUGUUAAAGAUUUAUCGCUUGGGGAGGAGCUUGCGGCAGAUUAGCUAGUUGGUAAGGUAACGGCUUACCAAGGCUACGAUCUGUAACCGGUCUUAGAGGACGGUCGGUCACACUGACACUGAAUCACGGUUCGGGCUCCUACGGGAGGCAGCAGUCGGUAAUUUUGGGCAAUGGCCGAAAGCCUGACCCAGCAACGCCGCGUGAAGGAUGAAGUAUUUCGGUAUGUAAACUUCGAAAGAAUAGGAAGAAUUAAUGACGGUACUAUUUAUAAGGUCCGGCUAACUACGUGCCAGCAGCCGCGGUAA
This 481-nucleotide ribosomal RNA is filed under the name uncultured bacterium. RNAcentral's name for it is "partial 16S ribosomal RNA". It matches the Rfam family "Bacterial small subunit ribosomal RNA", at positions 32 to 523 of the family's 1533-position model. The record is from RNAcentral.